Centruroides sculpturatus (bark scorpion) is the source of this 1369-nucleotide RNA transcript. RefSeq lists it as uncharacterized. The transcript is spliced from 10 exons. NCBI's taxonomy places the organism in Eukaryota, Metazoa, Arthropoda, Arachnida, Scorpiones, Buthidae. The record is from RefSeq and is a predicted model, not a curated record.
AAUAGCCAAAAAUUUAUAACAAUAAAUCCUUUCUUUUCAGAUAUACACACCUCAAACCGAAGACUUACAUCAUCACAACCACUACCCAGGACCAGGCAGAUACAGCUAUACUACAUUCAUAAAAAAUAUGAAUUAUUGAUUCAACGUGCCCACAUCUUGAGCAUUUCUCGUCCCUUACUCUAUGAUAUAAUCUCAGGUCUACUACUCUCCAUCCUCCCUCUUCAAUAUCAUUCCACAUAAUCUCUCUACUCGUAGGCUCAAAGGUGUUGUUCCAAAGUGUACUCACUAAACUGCUGUAAUUUAAGAAAAAUCCUGCUCAAACUGGGUUGAUCGACUAAGAAAAAGGUGAUGUCAUCUGCAUGCGUGAUGUAAUUAACUUUUUCUACCAUUCCUGGGAUAUGUAUCGAGGUAUAAUAUUUCUUAGGAUUUCUUCUUCCAGAGACUCAUACGACUGAGGAAUCUCAAACAGGUUCUUCCUCCGUCGAACCUCCUUGACCAACAUCCAUCAAAUCGUCCGGUUCGGUAACUUCUGCAUCUGGACGUUGAUGGGGACUGGAGACGGCCGAUCCAUCGUGGAUGGAAAGGGCACCCCCCCUCGCCAUCUAGUGCCUCUGUUGUUAAUAAUUUAUCAACUACUAACGUAGGAACUUCCAUCCAUUUACCUCUAUUAAAGACAGCACUAAAUUACAGGGAGAUAAUCUUCCCAUUACACGCCCCCCACGGGAGCUGUUUAGAUAAUUGUCUCCCUGGUCUUUUAUUCGGCGAGGACGCCACAGCCAAUGUGUCUUCCAUUUCCAGAGACAUACCUUCUCGACAAUUACCACUUUGGACAAACUUAACCACAUUUCCUCCAUCCAAAGAUACCUGAGCAUCUAAUAUAUCGCUCAUUAAUGAAGUAGAACUUUCCAUCCAUUAAUUAACUUCUUAAUUAAUUCGGCACCAAAGAGCAGCCACACCCCUCUCAAGUACUAUUCAGAUCUUAUUAAACCACAUCCAUACCUGUCGGGCCAAACAGCAUUCAAAGAAUAAAUGAAUCAUUGUUUCUCUAUUACCACAUCUUAAGCACCGGGCAUCUCGACCGUGAUGGUUUAAUACCUUUCUUAACAUUUUCCCAUACAUUAAGAUUUGAUUGAGGAGCUUUAAACAAUCGCUCAUAAAAACAUCUAAAUUCCUCCAAAAUAUCAUCUGUUUCGAGACUUUAGGCGAAGCGUAAAUAUUAACAACUCUGAUAAUUUUAUUACUCACCUGGAUAUCUACUGUAAGUAUCCUACCAUCACAGUCUGUCUUAAAAUCAUACACUUUUAUCUUCUUCUUUAUUAACGUAAGUACUCCCGUGCUUCGUCUACUUGAGAACGAUGCGUAAAUAUUA